ACGGAGGGUGCAAGCGUUACUCGGAAUCACUGGGCGUAAAGAGCGUGUAGGCGGGUAUAUAAGUCAGGAGUGAAAAACAAUAGCUUAACUAUUAUACUGCUUUUGAAACUGUGUAACUAGAAUGUGGGAGAGGUAGAUGGAAUUUCUUGUGUAGCGGUAAAAUCCGUAGAGAUCAGAAGGAACACCGAUCGCGAAGGCGAUUUACUGGAUCAUUACUGACGCUGAUACGCGAAAGCGUGGGGAUCAAACAG
Molecule: ribosomal RNA, 251 nt
Filed under: uncultured prokaryote
Description: partial 16S rRNA
Rfam family: Bacterial small subunit ribosomal RNA
Source: RNAcentral